GCUGGGCGUGGUGGUGCACGCCUGUAAUCCCAGCAGCUCUGGAGACUGAGACAGGAGGAUGGUGAGUUCAAAGCCAGCCUCAGCAAAAGCAAGGCCCUAAGCAACUCAGUGAGACCCUGUCUCUA
This 125-nucleotide small RNA is filed under the name Marmota monax (woodchuck). The record is from RNAcentral. Lineage: Eukaryota; Metazoa; Chordata; Mammalia; Rodentia; Sciuridae.